UGCCCACUGACCUUAGUUGAAGGGCUGCAGUAUUUUGACUGUACAAAGGUAGCAUAAUCAUUAGUCUUUUGAUUGAGGACUGGAAUGAAAGGCUUGACAUGGUUACACUGUCUCAGUAAUAGAAAAUUAAUUUUACAUCCUUGUGAAAAGGCAAGGAUAGCUUAUAGGGACGAGAAGACCCUAUAAAACUUAACUUUAAUUAAUGUGUUAUUUAGACAAUUAAUAUGAUAUGUUUAUUAAGGAUUUGCUGGGGCGGUAUUUAUUUUACAUAAAUUUGAUGAAAUAAUGGUUGUUAGCUUAAUAGAUGAUCCGAUAUUUUAGGUUGAUAAAAAGAAAGAGUUACUUUAGGGAUAACAGCGUAAUGGUUCCUGAGAGUUCUUAUUGACGGGGCUGUUUGCGACCUCGAUGUUGGAUUAGGGAGUCUUCUUGGCGCAGCUGUUAAGAAAGAUAGUCUGUUCGACUAUUAAAUCCCUACAUGAUCUGAGUUAAAAACCGGAGA
This 499-nucleotide ribosomal RNA is filed under the name unidentified. Its description in RNAcentral is "Spirobolus sp. partial large subunit ribosomal RNA". It matches the Rfam family "Bacterial large subunit ribosomal RNA", at positions 1860 to 2624 of the family's 2925-position model. The record is from RNAcentral.